Molecule: ribosomal RNA, 253 nt
Filed under: uncultured bacterium
Lineage: Bacteria
Description: partial 16S ribosomal RNA
Rfam family: Bacterial small subunit ribosomal RNA
Source: RNAcentral
UACGUAGGGGGCAAGCGUUGUCCGGAUUUACUGGGCGUAAAGAGCGUGUAGGCGGCUAGACAAGUCCGUUGUGAAAACUAGAGGCUUAACCUCUAGACGUCGAUGGAAACUGUUUGGCUAGAGUCCGGAAGAGGAGAAUGGAAUUCCUGGUGUAGCGGUGAAAUGCGCAGAUAUCAGGAAGAACACCCGUGGCUAAGGCGGUUCUCUAGUACGGUACUGACGCUGAGACGCGAAAGCGUGGGGAGCGAACAGG